UCGAGAAUCUUCGGCAAUGGGCGCAAGCCUGACCGAGCGACGCCGCGUGGAGGAUGAAGGCCUUCGGGUUGUAAACUCCUGUCGAGGGGGAGGAAGGGGUAACCUUGACCGAUCCCUGGAGGAAGCACGGGCUAAGUUCGUGCCAGCAGCCGCGGUAAGACGAACCGUGCGAACGUUAUUCGGAAUCACUGGGCUUAAAGCGCGUGUAGGCGGGCGGGUACGUCGGCCACUGAAAGCCCCCGGCUCAACCGGGGAAGUGGUGCCGAAACGGCCGGCCUGGAGGGGCGUAGGGGGACCUGGAACUUCCGGUGGAGCGGUGAAAUGCGUUGAGAUCGGAAGGAACGCCCGUGGCGAAAGCGAGGUCCUGGACGCCAUCUGACGCUGAGACGCGAAAGCCAGGGGAGCGAACG
RNAcentral lists this ribosomal RNA (410 nucleotides) under uncultured bacterium. RNAcentral's name for it is "bacterial SSU rRNA". It matches the Rfam family "Bacterial small subunit ribosomal RNA", at positions 355 to 774 of the family's 1533-position model. The record is from RNAcentral.